RNAcentral lists this ribosomal RNA (529 nucleotides) under uncultured bacterium. Its description in RNAcentral is "bacterial SSU rRNA". It matches the Rfam family "Bacterial small subunit ribosomal RNA", at positions 776 to 1304 of the family's 1533-position model. The record is from RNAcentral.
AAAUAGAUACCCAGGUAGUCCACGCCGUAAACGAUGUCGACUUGGAGGUUGUGCCCUUGAGGGCGUGGCUUCCGGAGCUAACGCGUUAAGUCGACCGCCUGGGGAGUACGGCCGCAAGGUUAAAACUCAAAUGAAUUGACGGGGGCCCGCACAAGCGGUGGAGCAUGUGGUUUAAUUCGAUGCAACGCGAAGAACCUUACCUACUCUUGACAUCCAGAGAACUUAGCAGAGAUGCUUUGGUGCCUUCGGGAACUCUGAGACAGGUGCUGCAUGGCUGUCGUCAGCUCGUGUUGUGAAAUGUUGGGUUAAGUCCCGCAACGAGCGCAACCCUUAUCCUUUGUUGCCAGCGAUUCGGUCGGGAACUCAAAGGAGACUGCCAGUGAUAAACUGGAGGAAGGUGGGGAUGACGUCAAGUCAUCAUGGCCCUUACGAGUAGGGCUACACACGUGCUACAAUGGCAUAUACAAAGAGAAGCGACCUCGCGAGAGCAAACGGACCUCAUAAAGUAUGUCGUAGUCCGGAUUGGAGU